RNAcentral lists this ribosomal RNA (231 nucleotides) under uncultured bacterium. RNAcentral's name for it is "partial 16S ribosomal RNA". It matches the Rfam family "Bacterial small subunit ribosomal RNA", at positions 1269 to 1500 of the family's 1533-position model. The record is from RNAcentral.
AAAUCUCCAAAAAAUGUCUCAGUUCAGAUUGCAGGCUGCAACUCGCCUGCAUGAAGUCGGAAUUGCUAGUAAUCGUAGGUCAGCAUACUACGGUGAAUACGUUCCCGGGCCUUGUACACACCGCCCGUCAAACCAUGAGAGUUGGCAACACCCGAAGUCGGUAGUCUAACCGCAAGGAGGACGCCGCCGAAGGUGGGGUCGAUGAUUAGGGUUAAGUCGUAACAAGGUACC